AGUGAACGCUGGCGGCAGGCCUAACACAUGCAAGUCGAGCGGCAGCGCGUCCGACCACCCUCGGGUGGUCGGAUGGCGGCGAGCGGCGGACGGGUGAGGAAUGCAUCGGAAUCUGUCUCGUUGUGGGGGAUAACGUAGGGAAACUUACGCUAAUACCGCAUACGACCUACGGGUGAAAGUGGGGGACCUUCGGGCCUCACGCGAUGAGAUGAGCCGAUGCCGGAUUAGCUAGUUGGCGGGGUAAAGGCCCACCAAGGCGACGAUCCGUAGCUGGUCUGAGAGGAUGAUCAGCCACACUGGAACUGAGACACGGUCCAGACUCCUACGGGAGGCAGCAGUGGGGAAUAUUGGACAAUGGGGGCAACCCUGAUCCAGCCAUGCCGCGUGUGUGAAGAAGGC
RNAcentral lists this ribosomal RNA (399 nucleotides) under uncultured bacterium. RNAcentral's name for it is "bacterial SSU rRNA". It matches the Rfam family "Bacterial small subunit ribosomal RNA", at positions 30 to 415 of the family's 1533-position model. The record is from RNAcentral.